CCGUGCCCAAGAGAUCGGGAUAACACCUGGAAACAGAUGCUAAUACCGGAUAACAACAGAUGAUGCCUAUCAACUGUUUAAAAGAUGGUUCUGCUAUCACUCUUGGAUGGACCUGCGGUGCAUUAGCUAGUUGGUAGGGUAACGGCCUACCAAGGCGAUGAUGCAUAGCCGAGUUGAGAGACUGAUCGGCCACAUUGGGACUGAGACACGGCCCAAACUCCUACGAGAGGCAGCAGCC
This 238-nucleotide ribosomal RNA is filed under the name uncultured Lactobacillus sp. RNAcentral describes it as "partial 16S ribosomal RNA". It matches the Rfam family "Bacterial small subunit ribosomal RNA", at positions 125 to 355 of the family's 1533-position model. Lineage: Bacteria; Bacillati; Bacillota; Bacilli; Lactobacillales; Lactobacillaceae. The record is from RNAcentral.